This 343-nucleotide ribosomal RNA is filed under the name uncultured bacterium. RNAcentral describes it as "bacterial SSU rRNA". It matches the Rfam family "Bacterial small subunit ribosomal RNA", at positions 8 to 334 of the family's 1533-position model. The record is from RNAcentral.
AGGGUUUGAUUCUGGCUCAGGAUGAACGCUGGCGGCGUGCUUAACACAUGCAAGUCGAACGAGAAUCUGAUGACGGAGGCUUCGGCCAACUGAGUCAGAGGAAAGUGGCGGACGGGUGAGUAACGCGUGAGGAACCUGCCUUGGAGUGGGGAAUAACAGUUGGAAACAGCUGCUAAUACCGCAUAAUGCAUUUAGACCGCAUGAUCUGAAUGCCAAAGAUUUAUCGCUCUGAGAUGGCCUCGCGUCUGAUUAGCUUGUUGGCGGGGUAACGGCCCACCAAGGCGACGAUCAGUAGCCGGACUGAGAGGUUGGCCGGCCACAUUGGGACUGAGACACGGCCCAG